AUGUUUUUUGAAAUUUGAUCUGAAAGCAUUUGAUUUUUUCUUACUCAAUGAAUAUUAUUGCCAUAGAUGGAAAAGAAUAUUUUGUACAACGUAUUUAUUUUUUAUUCAUAUGCUCUUACCAUUAUUAGAUUAUAUAGCUUUUAUUAGAGAGAAUCAAAUCAGCAUAUUAUAUCAUUGCAAAUCAAUAUAAAUCCCUGUAAAUCAGCUUUUGAUGAUUGUAUAUUCAUCUAUUUAUUUAAUGAAAACAGAAGAGCAAGGGGCCAUUCAAUUAAACAUCUACUAAAUUCUUCAAAAAUUAUCAUAGUAUCAGAGCUCUAAUCUUGAGUUUUGGAAUUCUGGGUUGUUCUUGGUGUUAUUAGAGUUUCAGGUCUCUGCAGGUUGCAAGUUGUGUGUGUUCUUGGUUGUUCUAUGUAUCGGCAUGUUUUUUUCUUUCACUGAUAUUUGGUUGAGUUUGCAGAUCCAGUUUAGGAGAAACUCACAUAUUUUGGUAAUAUUUUCAGUUAUAUUCAGUUGCUUUUAUCUAAAAUGGGUGGUGAUAAAUCUGAAUUUUGAGUCAAAUCUAUGUGAAAGAAUUAUUCAACAUGGAAAUUUCAAUUUCGAUUAUAUGUUACCGAGAAAGAGUUAAGGGGACGUAUUGAUCGCACUGAUCUAGUCCCAACGGAUGCUGCUAAAUUAACUCAAUGGACGAUUAAAGAUGCUCGAGUGAUGUCUUAGAUCAUUGGGUCAUGCGAGUCCUAAAUUGUUCUUAAUUUACGUUCCUAUAAAAUUGCUCAAAAAAUGUGGGAGUAUUUGAAAAAGCUUUACCAUCAAACAAAUUCAGCUAGGAGAUUUCAAUUGGAGUAUGAGAUUACAAACUAUAAACAGGGAAGUCUAUCUAUUCAAUAUUAUUUUUCUAAUUUUCAAAAUUUAUAGGCUGAAUUUUCUGACAUAGUUUGUGGAUCAGUGUCUAAUGAUUCUCUUGCUGAUGUAUUAGCUGUUCAUAAGAUUAGCAAGCGAGAUCAGUUUUUGAUGAAGCUGAGACCAGACUUUGAAAAUGCUCGUUCUAAUUUGAUGAAUUGCCAUCCUCCUCCUUCCUUGGAUGUUUGCUUCAGUGAAUUAAUCGUGAAGAACAACGUCUUAUUACACAAACCACUCUUGAAUAGGAGAAAAUGACUACAACACAUAUGGCAUUUUGGCUCAAGGAAAAGGCCAGGGUAGAGACUUGCGUAAGAUUCAGUGUUUUAAUUACAAGAAUUAUAGGCAUAUUGCUACAAAUUAUGCUAAGAAAGUUUGCAAUUAUUACAAAAAGCCAGGCACAUCAUCAAAGAUUGUUCAAUUCGUCCUCAAACGCCAAACUGUCGCUUUUCAAGAAACUGUUGGCAACUCUUCUCCUAGUCAGAUUCAAACCGAGCCCACAACUAUGAUGGUAGUCAAUCAAAAUGCUCAACAAAUUGCCGUUACUCCUCAAAUGCUGCAAAAAAUGAUAGUUUCAGCUUUCUCAGCUCUUAGUAUUCAAGAUCAGGUAUCGGGGACGAUGAUCACGAAGGGGCCUAGAGUAGGAUGUUUGUUUCCUCUACAUAUUUCAAUUCCUAGUAAUAUUUCUUUAGUUUGUUCUGCAAUUGUUAAUAAAAUUGAGCAGUGGCAUAAACAUUUGGCCACCCCAAUUCUAUUAUAUUGUCUUAUUUGUUGAAAUCUGAUUUAUUAGGCAGUAAUGAUCAAUUCUGAAGUCUUUCUUUUGAUUGUUCAACUUGUAAAUUGAGAAAAAGUAAAAUUCUUCCUUUUCCUCUUA
Molecule: long non-coding RNA, 1768 nt
Organism: Jatropha curcas
Lineage: Eukaryota; Viridiplantae; Streptophyta; Magnoliopsida; Malpighiales; Euphorbiaceae
Source: RefSeq, a predicted model, not a curated record